AUACGGAGGGUGCAAGCGUUACGCGGAAUCACUGGGCGUAAAGCGCGCGCAGGCGGCUUGAUAAGUUGGAUGUGAAAGCCUACGGCUCAACCGUAGAACUGCAUCCAAAACUGUCAAGCUAGAGUCUGGGAGGGGAAGAUGGAAUUAGUUGUGUAGGGGUAAAAUCCGUAGAGAUAACUAGGAAUACCAAAAGCGAAGGCGAUCUUCUGGAACAGUACUGACGCUGAGGCGCGAAAGCGUGGGGAGCAAACAGGAUUAGAAACCCCAGUAGUCC
Molecule: ribosomal RNA, 274 nt
Filed under: uncultured bacterium
Lineage: Bacteria
Description: partial 16S ribosomal RNA
Rfam family: Bacterial small subunit ribosomal RNA
Source: RNAcentral